GGAAGUAAAAGUCGUAACAAGGUUUCCGUAGGUGAACCUGCGGAAGGGAUCAUUAUCGUUGGCUUCGGCCCAUUCGAGAUAACACCCUUGCCUUUUUGAGUACCUUUUCGUUUCCUCGGCAGGCUCGCCUGCCAACGGGGACCCCAAAAACGCUUUGUAAUACCUGUCAUUGUCUGAUAUAACAAGCAAAAAUUAAAACUUUCAACAACGGAUCUCUUGGUUCUGGCAUCGAUGAAGAACGCAGCGAAAUGCGAUAAGUAGUGUGAAUUGCAGAAUUCAGUGAAUCAUCGAAUCUUUGAACGCACAUUGCGCCCUUUGGUAUUCCUUAGGGCAUGCCUGUUCGAGCGUCAUUUAAACCUUCAAGCUCAGCUUGGUGAUGGGUGACUGUCCUCCCCUCGCGGGGGGACUCGCCUCAAAAACAUUGGCGGCCGGUACAUUGGCUUCGAGCGCAGCAGAAACGCGGUCUCGAGCCCGGUGGAUCGGCUCCCAUAAGCCUCUUCUUUUAUUUUGACCUCGGAUCAGGUAGGGAUACCCGCUGAACUUAAGCAUAUCAAUAAGCGGAGGA
RNAcentral lists this ribosomal RNA (565 nucleotides) under Preussia sp. CY218. RNAcentral's name for it is "eukaryotic LSU rRNA". The stretch from base 197 to 350 matches the Rfam family "5.8S ribosomal RNA". Lineage: Eukaryota; Fungi; Ascomycota; Dothideomycetes; Pleosporales; Sporormiaceae. The record is from RNAcentral.